This 21-nucleotide microRNA is filed under the name Mus musculus (house mouse). Its description in RNAcentral is "mmu-miR-6389". The record is from miRBase by way of RNAcentral. Lineage: Eukaryota; Metazoa; Chordata; Mammalia; Rodentia; Muridae.
CAGUGCAAUGUUAAACUUUGC